RNAcentral lists this ribosomal RNA (695 nucleotides) under uncultured bacterium. RNAcentral's name for it is "bacterial SSU rRNA". It matches the Rfam family "Bacterial small subunit ribosomal RNA", at positions 742 to 1435 of the family's 1533-position model. The record is from RNAcentral.
GACGCUGAUGUGCGAAAGCGUGGGGAUCAAACAGGAUUAGAUACCCUGGUAGUCCACGCCGUAAACGAUGAGUGCUAAGUGUUAGGGGGUUUCCGCCCCUUAGUGCUGCAGCUAACGCAUUAAGCACUCCGCCUGGGGAGUACGACCGCAAGGUUGAAACUCAAAGGAAUUGACGGGGACCCGCACAAGCGGUGGAGCAUGUGGUUUAAUUUGAAGCAACGCGAAGAACCUUACCAAAUCUUGACAUCCUUUGACCCUUCUAGAGAUAGAAGUUUCCCCUUCGGGGGACAAAGUGACAGGUGGUGCAUGGUUGUCGUCAGCUCGUGUCGUGAGAUGUUGGGUUAAGUCCCGCAACGAGCGCAACCCUUAAGCUUAGUUGCCAUCAUUAAGUUGGGCACUCUAAGUUGACUGCCGGUGACAAACCGGAGGAAGGUGGGGAUGACGUCAAAUCAUCAUGCCCCUUAUGAUUUGGGCUACACACGUGCUACAAUGGACAAUACAAAGGGCAGCGAAACCGCGAGGUCAAGCAAAUCCCAUAAAGUUGUUCUCAGUUCGGAUUGUAGUCUGCAACUCGACUACAUGAAGCUGGAAUCGCUAGUAAUCGUAGAUCAGCAUGCUACGGUGAAUACGUUCCCGGGUCUUGUACACACCGCCCGUCACACCACGAGAGUUUGUAACACCCGAAGCCGGUGGAG